GCCAGUCAGUCGCCUUUGAUUAUCAGUCUCCAGCAGCCCCUCUCUUGGCUCCUUGACAUGAGCACCAUAUAAGGCGCAGCGAUCUCCAUAGAAACGUGUCAGUUUCAAUAGUAGUGUCAAAGUUCACUAUAUACAGACAUUCGCGCAGAUCCCCCCGUUUCGGAAACAUUGCUCUGCAGCUCCUCUUCCUUUAAAGCAUUUUUGGAGCCUCUCUCUUCUUUUUCUUCUUGCAUAUUCUACUAGUUGUUUUUUUUUCUUCCUCCUUCUGCUGCUGCUGUGAUAUCUUUUCUCCGUUGCUCCAGCUGGAGGAGAGGUGAAAGUCUUGAACGGUGUGGACUCUAUUCGCUCUGCGAGAAGGUGAUGAUGAAGAUGAUGAUGAGCUUUAUUUAAGAAUACAGACGCGGCAAAUCUGCAGUUUUUUGUGUGUGUGUUCGCUCCGCUGUCCGCACGGCGACUGGUGGAAAAGGAGAAAGGAAUUUAUCCACCGCAGCACUUUGGAUCCAGCGUCUUUUCACCACAAGAAGGGUUUUUUUUUUAUUUAUUUAAAUACUCGCUCAUGUGAAUUGCUUUCCUUUGUGGCUUUUUUUUCUAUCAAAGUGCAGCUUUUCCCCCCAACACGUCUGGACUCGCCUUUUCCUACAAGAUUGGGGAUUCCUGAAUGGCUCAGUGCAAUUUACCUUGGAACUGGCCUCCCGAUACUUGCAUAUCGUGAUCGGGUCGUCCCCUCCAGCCGUCCCCCUCUAUUUUGAAUGUAUCGAUCCACCUCCUCCUCUAUGAGAUUCCGUGCACCGAUUUGACUUUGCAUCCAUCUUGCAAAAAAACCCCUUUUUCUCCCAUCCACGCUCCAGACCAGCAGCGAUCAUUUCGCUCUACAGCACUUUCCGUGGCCGAGAUAUGGCAAUGGUAGUUAGCGUCUGGCGAGAUCCGCAGGAAGACGUGGCCGGAGGACCUCCGAGCGGCCCCAACCCAGCAGCUCAGCCGGCGAGGGAGCAGCAGCAGGCGGCGUCGGCGGCGCCUCACACCCCGCAGACCCCCAGCCAGCCGGGACCUCCGUCCACGCCGGGCACGGCGGGGGACAAGGGCAGCCAGAACUCGGGGCAGAGCCAGCAGCACAUCGAAUGCGUGGUGUGCGGGGACAAGUCUAGCGGCAAACACUAUGGCCAGUUCACCUGCGAGGGGUGCAAAAGUUUCUUCAAGCGGAGUGUACGCAGGAACUUAACGUACUCAUGUCGCGCCAAUAGGAACUGUCCCAUCGACCAGCACCACCGGAACCAAUGCCAGUACUGCCGCCUCAAGAAGUGCUUAAAAGUGGGCAUGCGGCGGGAAGCGGUUCAGCGAGGACGAAUGCCUCCAACCCAGCCCAACCCAGGCCAGUACGCGCUGACCAACGGGGACCCUCUCAACGGCCAUUGCUAUCUCUCCGGAUACAUCUCGUUAUUGCUGCGGGCUGAGCCCUACCCCACGUCCCGGUACGGGAGCCAGUGCAUGCAGCCCAACAAUAUCAUGGGCAUCGAGAACAUCUGCGAGCUGGCGGCUCGGUUGCUCUUCAGCGCCGUGGAGUGGGCCAGAAACAUCCCUUUCUUUCCCGACCUGCAGAUCACCGACCAGGUGUCCCUUCUCAGGCUGACGUGGAGCGAGUUGUUUGUUCUUAAUGCCGCCCAGUGCUCCAUGCCCCUGCAUGUGGCCCCUCUGCUCGCCGCGGCUGGCCUGCACGCCUCGCCCAUGUCCGCGGACCGCGUCGUGGCUUUCAUGGACCACAUCCGGAUCUUCCAGGAGCAAGUGGAGAAGCUCAAGACCCUGCACGUAGACUCUGCAGAGUACAGCUGCCUCAAGGCCAUCGUGCUUUUCACGUCAGACGCCUGCGGCCUCUCGGACGCUGCCCACAUCGAGAGCCUGCAGGAGAAGUCCCAAUGCGCCCUGGAGGAGUACGUGAGGAGCCAGUAUCCGAACCAGCCCAGCCGCUUUGGCAAGCUCCUUCUGCGGCUGCCCUCCCUCCGCACCGUGUCCUCGUCGGUAAUCGAGCAGCUCUUCUUCGUCCGCUUGGUAGGUAAAACUCCUAUUGAAACCCUCAUCAGGGAUAUGCUAUUAUCCGGGAGCAGCUUCAACUGGCCUUACAUGUCCAUCCAAUGAUCCUUAUAUGACAAAAAAGAGGAAAAGGACCAAAAUUCAGCACCCAUCCUCCUCUAUGAAGACUAUAUUAAGACUUUUUCUCACAAGUUUGGAAGACUUUUGCCCCCCCCCGGUCCCCCUCCCCCUCCCCUGCAGUCUUCUGGGACUGAGAUGGAAUAUGUACAGAAAAAUAUUGGAACUGGACUUUACACCUGUGUAAAUCCACCCUCAUCUUCAAGAACAAUACUCGUCAUUUUGUAAAAUACUAGUCUUUAUUUUCCUUUUUUGUAAAAAAAAAAAAAUUACAAAUAAAAUGAAAAACAUCGUAUGCGCAGUAAGAAAAAAAGAAUCAAGACUUAGCGGGAAAUAAUGUUUCCAAGCAAUUAUAAGAAUUUGUCCUGUGUCUAUGUACCUCUCUGUUUUGUAUUUUUUCUGGUUCUAAACCAGGCUUUCUGUGAUUCUAUACUAAUAAUUUUUGAUAUAACCUUUUGCUUCUUAUAAUGAGUGCGGUAUAUGUUGUCGAAGCUAUGUUCUCCAAGAAUUAAAAUUGAAGUGAGAAUUUAAAAAAAAGAGAAAAACCAGGAAAAAAAAUAAAGAAAUUUAGACAAUAAGAAACAAGUCUAAUCGCUAUGACAAUAUCACCACUGAUGGUUGAACUUUUUUUUGGUUAUUUUUUCCAACACAAUGGACCUGCAACCACAAACUGACCCCUUCCCACCCAGCCCACCCCUCCCCAGGACAUUUUUACUGAGAGGACAUCUGGGGAACCCCCACACCCACCCACCCACCUUACAUCCACCACCUCCCCUCCUUCGGCCAUGAGUGCGAUCAUCAGUCAAAGAGGAGAGACAUGAAAAAUCAAAAAAGCACUUUUAAUAUAUCAUUUCAAAUACAUUUUUUGUUUGUUUCGUCUUUGAAGAAAAACAUUGUUUCUUGAAUUUUAUUGGUUGUUGCCUUCAAUUUGCUUACUCCAUGAUGCAGCUUUUUUUUUUUUUUGCAGAAAGGCUCGGUUGAUGAUGAAGUUGUGUGAUGGUGACUGUACUAUUAAAAGACAAAUAGGCAACGAUGUCUCGUUCUCAAGAAUUUUCCUACACUUAUUUGUUCAACAAUUUGUCUUGAAUGCAGCCUGGUAUCGCAAUGGUACACCACUACAACUAAAAUACUAUUGAUAAAAUAACAUUGGUAUUAAAGUACUACAAAACACAUCCGAACUUUAUUGGUGAUUCUGCAGCUCCCUGUUUAAAAACCACAGCCUUGAUCUUGCAUGCUUUAAUAUUGACGUGGGCGUCUCUUGGCAAAAAAAAAAAAAAACACAAAAAAAAGGUUUUGGCCCUGCUGCAAAGCUGCUGUGAUAUGCGUGAUCAAUGUGGAAAAUGUAUUUUACAGCAUGUAAGCCAGUCGAUAGGGAGGUGGGAGGGGUGAUGAUGUUGCAUUGUGUGGGAAUAGAGACGAAGAUGGAGUGUAUGUGCGUGUACGUGUGUGUGUUGUACAAAAUGCAUGGGCUCCGUAUAGAGGUGUGUGUGUGUGUCUCCUUAUUGUGGACAAAAGACAAGGAGUCUGUCAAGACUGCAUUGCAGGUCCAAGUUACAAAUCGCAUUGGAAAGUAGCAAAAAGCAGAUUUGGUGUGGCAUUUGUGACCUUUGCCUGUUAGCACCAUGCAGCAGCUCCUUAACCAUUGGAUUUGUUGCUUAUGUUUGUGACGACAGGAGGACACGUGAAUGCAUCACGGUGUAAUGUAUAAACAGUGUGUCAUCUUCUUGCAAUCAGAGGGAGGAGUCAUCACUUUAUAUGUGUGCAUUGGUCGUCUUAUUCCACAUAAGGCGUGCACAUGUAUGUGUUGAUGCUUUCUUCAUAAGCCUUAUCCUCGGUUGCACCCUCACAUGGACACACUGUGUGUGUGUGACGCCAUCAUGACCUAUUGGGCGUAUUAGGGGACCUGUGUGUGGCUGUGGGUGAAGCUUAUUGGUGGUGUGACAUUUCUGCAGGUUGGAUACCUUUUAGUUUUAGCUUGUUCAUUCGGGUUCGGCUUUUGGGGUGAUUUAUUGCAUAAAAAAUAGAAUGUAGCCCUAAAUGAAUGCUCAAAAAUACAGUGGCGUUAUUCCUGUUGGAUUGCAUGUGGGACUAAAUGUUUGUUUGGCCUGAAAAGAAGCUUGACAAGAGCCCAUGCAGGCAGGUCGUUGUCGUUUUAUGUAGCUGUGCACUAAAUGGUUUGCUGGGUUAUUAAACGCAGCGUACAGCUGCUUGUCUGACACAUAAUGUAUUCUAAAUCCCUCCAGAGUAUAACCAUCUUUUAUCCUCUCGCUGAGAGCAUUUUGUUGUACAAUUGUUACACUACGGGCUAUAUAAAGCGAGCUGCAGAUGAAAUAGUGGCAUGUGUUGCUAAUUAACGUUUUUGUAUGGACAAAACACACCAGGAUUCGAGGAAAACGAUUAAAAUGUCUUUGACGUCACGCAUGUGCUAUAUUUAAAAACACGUCAAUCAUCGUUACAUGUUGCUAUCGAUACCAAAAAAUGCAAUUAGAUCAAAUAAAUGUGCAGGUCCACUUUAGGCAAGUCUAGGAAGCUGUGGUUAAGAAGUGUUAAUCCAGAAAAAAAGUUAACCAAGCAGUUAGCUUUGUCUGCUUUCAUUCAUCAAACCACAAGUGGAGGACUCCCAGCACCAGGGACUAUUUGUUUGCUUUUUACGCAAGCAGCUGGGUGCGAUUUCACGUUUGAGGUGAGUGUCUGAAAGAGGAACAUUUAUUAUCCCAAUAUGUCAGCGCGGCGGACCCAGGACGUCUUCCUCUCCGUUAUAUGUCAUUUCUCAGCUCACUUUUGAAGCAUUUUUACACACAAGACGCAAUAACCAUUUUACCUUGAUGGCACGAGAUUACUUCCCAUACUGUCUGAAUAAACGUGACAACAAAUACACCUUUUUUGCAAGAACAAUGCCAUAUCAAAUAGUGUGUGGCGAGAUGUUGAGGACAAAAAUGUCUUGAAAACAUACUAUUUAAUCAUAUGUGUGGUAUAUUUCAGAAUGUCCCUGAAGGCCACACAAAGGACCACCCCUAUAAACCGUGUGCGCGUGCGUGUGUUAACGUUUGGCCAGGUUGCCACAACAACCUGGCGAGGCUUUCUUUUCAAUAUAUUUUUUUAUAUAUAAGGUUAUUUCUUGACGAGCGUGUGUGUGCAAGCCCGUGCGUAAAAGCGCACACUCACCACCAUGCAGCCUGGAUGUAUGCGUGUGUCUGUGUGUGCGUGCGCGCGCGCACAGAGAGAGCAGAUUGCUGUGUAAGCGGAUCCUUUUGUGUUGAUUUAGGAAGACGUUUGCUGUAUAUAACGUUCAAGGCUGAUAAUAUCAUUGCCUGGCCAGAUAAAUAAAGCAUUGGCCAAACCAUCGGGUCAGCUAUCGAUCCGCUUUCUCUCCCCGAGAGAGGCGGAGGAUAGUGGGAGAAAGGGGGAGAAAGAGAGAGAGAGAGAGAGCCCACUCAUUAGCAUUCCACAGCCAUGGACUAAACGCUGACAACUAACAGAGAUAUCCAGCUUCACACCGCUGCAUGCACUCCCUCUUUGUCCUCUCCCCUCCUGGCCCUUCAUUUCUCUCUCUCAUCACAGCCAACACUCUUUCUUUUCCUCCUCCCCUCUAUCCUCUCUCUUCUCCUUUUUUGCACCAAUGGGCCCCGUGCACAAGAGCCAGAACCUCCCAGAAGAAGAAAAAAUGAGGAGGAGGAGAGGAAUGAGAAGGAGGGGUGAUGUUGUAAAAGCUGUGCAGAAGUGACAGCGCUAAGCGCAGCGGAUUUAGUCAGGACAGAUACAAUUGUGUGUGUGACUUGACAAAAUAGAAGGCGGGAGACGUUUUGAAUUGAAGCUGCCAUUGUGGGUUGUUUUAAAGCACUCCCACCCAAAAAAAUAAAUAAAAAAGAGAAGGGACUUUUAACCGGUCUGUUUACUUCAGGAUUGACAACUUUGACGUCCAUUGGGUGGGAAAACUGAUGCGUAAUAGUGCAAGUAUAAUCACAUGUUGGAUGGGUAUAUUGAAAGAAUUAUCCUGUUUAGGAAUCACUAAUUAGAAGCGUAAAUGUAUCACUUAGAACAUACAUAGAACACUAGAGCAUACAAUGUAAAACGUGUGUUAUCUGUACAAUUAAGAUGACAUGCUUAUGUUGAAUGAGAUGACAAACUGCCCCCCUCAUCCACCUAUGCAUUAUUUGAAUGUUAACAAAUGCUUUACAUAUGUUUGCAUGAGUGAUACCGUAAUACGUGCGGCAACAAUGACAGCUGUUCAUCUCACAUAGUAACUUCUUUCCAAAGUUUGCACCCCCCCCCCGCCCCCCACACACACCCCGAGCCCCCACCCACACCUCCUCCUGCAGUGUCUGUCCUGCUUUGUUGCUUUUAAAAUAUGCAUGUCUCUCCGGAAUGCCAGUCACGAGUCUAAACUGUGUGUCCCAACCUCCCACAUGAUGAAAUGACCCCCCCCCCCCCCCCUCAUUCUCCCCCCUCCUUUUUCUUUAAGCGGGCUCAAAAUGUCUCAAUCUUGCACUCUUCAUCUUCUUCUCGUUUGAGAACUAUAGGGUGCUGGAUACAGACCCCUUAUAACAAUCAUAAUAUUAUGAAUAAUAUUAAUAAAGGACAGAAAACAAGGCAAGCGGUGGAUGGGUGGAGAUUUCUUGCAGGAGAAAAUGGCGCCCUGCCUUAGGGGACCCUCUCUGACACUGGAGCCGCGCAGCACAGCUCUCGUCUCUGCAUGGACCUUCCCUUCUUUCUUUUUUGAAUCCUUUUUAUUUUUAAUGCAUCUGAACGUGAAUGCUGGGAACCUGUACAGGAUUUUAUUCACACUUUUUUGUAUUUUGUAAAAAUUGCUUUAGUGCAAAGACACAAAUAAAAAUAGCGAUGUGAUUGAUUUUAAUGUGAACUGCUGGAUUUCCUUGUUUGUUCUUUUAAAAAUAUUUUACAAUUUCAACUCAUCGUACGUUAAUUACGUAAUAAAAUUUAAACGGGUGUUAUUUUUUUUAAAUAAACGGAAGCCUAUUCAUGUGCGACAGGUAGAUUUCCACAUGGGAAAAUCUACUAAUGUGACUGCAAUUCUAAACAAUCUUACGCAUGUACUAAUAUGUUUAAUGUCUGUUCAAGCGACAUUCAAUAUUUCAUUCCCCUUUUUAAUGAACGAAUAAUCAUUAAAUGUGCAACAACAGUGUAUUUGUGACUCGGUUUGUUUAAAUGUCCUCCCCCCACCUCCACACACAGAAAAUACAAAUACACUGCAACACUUUCACUAAAUAGCACCUUGUCGGUGUGUGACGUUGAUGGAUGUGUUGGAGACUUCCAGAACCUUCUAAAGCUCUGUUUAAAAAAAAUAAAUAAUAAAAAAAAACCCACGGCAAACAGAUUAGGUGCAAGGAGCAGGCUUUGAUAAAGAAACGUAUAUUUCUGUGGAAAGCGAUGCAAUAAAAGAAAUCAUUUUUGUAUUUUAUAUUGAAUGCCUGCUGUGCACAACACCACGUGCACUCACACAAAUAGAUAUACAUAUUUCUUUCAAAAUAUAUAUGCUUUUAAGAAGACCAUCAUGCUGCGUUUUGCAUUGUUAGUAUUGAAUUGCUAUUUAUAACAUUAACAUUAACAUUAUUUAUAACAUUAUAUUCAUUAAUAUCAUUUAACUGCACUGCAUCGUACUGGCCAAAAUGUUACAAAUAGCUUUGAAUACGAUGCAGUGCAUUUUUACACAACCUUAAUAGACAUAAUCAAAAGUAACAAUACAUAAAUAAAUACAUUUAGUAUGAUCGAUAUGCGCAGGUGUACCUAAUGACGUGUCCAUUGCAUUGCACAUGUCUCAGUGUGCUGUGCAUUCUUGGACAAUGUGGUCAUCUCAAGAGAAACCUAGUGUGUUUUUAUGAGGGUGACAUUGUCUUUAGCUUGUGGUUUAAAAGUUCUAUAAUGAUUCCCAACUGGAAGCCAUCAGCUAUGUUCCAUCAUAUUCCCUUUUCCCUCUUUUACAAGAGCAGACAUGCAGAGCCAGAGAAGAAAUGUCUUCUCAUGUGGCUCGCCAAUGUGGGCUGUGAAUGUUUUUUGGCUUCCUCCUCUCCUGUGGUGUCAUAGUCUCAAAUGAAGACGUUCAAAUCUCCAUGAAAGUGUUAUUAUUAUAAGGCAAAUGAAGCUUUGUGGGUUUUUGGAGUUUGCAUGCUUAAUUUGGUAAUUGAGCGUAAUGAUAUGUUGGGAAAUACGUGUU
RNA transcript from Dunckerocampus dactyliophorus (ringed pipefish), 8314 nucleotides. It is a transcript of the gene named nuclear receptor subfamily 2, group F, member 1a, with no coding region annotated. Lineage: Eukaryota; Metazoa; Chordata; Actinopteri; Syngnathiformes; Syngnathidae. The record is from RefSeq and is a predicted model, not a curated record. The transcript has 4 exons.